Molecule: ribosomal RNA, 253 nt
Filed under: uncultured bacterium
Lineage: Bacteria
Description: partial 16S ribosomal RNA
Rfam family: Bacterial small subunit ribosomal RNA
Source: RNAcentral
CACGUAGGGCGCAAGCGUUGUCCGGAAUUAUUGGGCGUAAAGAGCUCGUAGGCGGUCUGUCGCGUCGGCUGUGAAAUCCCGGAGCUCAACUCCGGGUCUGCAGUCGAUACGGGCAAACUGGAGUACUGCAGGGGAGACUGGAAUUCCUGGUGUAGCGGUGAAAUGCGCAGAUAUCAGGAGGAACACCGGUGGCGAAGGCGGGUCUCUGGGCAGUAACUGACGCUGAGGAGCGAAAGCGUGGGGAGCGAACAGG